GCUGUUGAUCUGUGCCUUAGAAGCUUUGGUGAGUUACUGCCAUAUAUGGACAUAAGGGCAGGCCGAGCCGAUGACCUCGUUUCAAGAUGUCUGCUACCUACCUUCCGGGUAGCCUUGUGAGGCAUAAACGAAAUCAACAUGGAUUACGUUGAUUCACACCGUAAACCAGGAUACCACAUAUCAUGAGGAUGUUUUAUUAGUCUGCAUGUGACCUACAGUUAUUGAUCACCACCCCCGUUGAUUUUACACAACGUUUUCACCAAACAGCAAAGGAGAAAAUCUACAUUUUGCCAUUACAUCAAAGAGGAUAAAAACAGCAGCACAAUUUGAUGUCUGCUGGCCAGUCCAGUUGUCAGCCAACCAGAAGUGAUGAGGAAGAGGAAAAGGGUGAGGUGUGAGAUUAUUGGUACAUGCAGGUACUGUGCCCUAAAGAGAAGCCCGCAUUAUACAGAGGAUGGAGUAGGUUGGCCUGAUCCUAGAUCUGUUUCACCAAUGCAAGCUCUAAAUGAUCAUUAGCUGACCAGCUGAGUUGGCAAGACGGCACAAACAGAUCUGGAACCAGGCUAUGGGUGGGGGUAAUGAGUGGAGAAAGAUUUGUUGCAUAUUGUGCUGUAGUAACUGGCUAGAGCGUUAACCAUGUGUCAGCUGGUUUAACCAUCGCCCUCAUCUUUCUUGUCCUUCUCUUCGUCGCUCGGUAAGUCCGGCAGUCGGAAACACUCCUCAAAGAAGUUGACCAGUGAUUGGCUCAGGUGUUGCCGAGUGCCAUCGCUAUGCAGGAAGUGUCCCUCGUCUGGGUAGAUCUACAUUACAAAAACAGAAAAUAAUAUGUGAAGAGCACAUGUCAAAAGGUCAUUUGAAAACAGAGGUAAGGAAAAGGACAAGACAAGUAAUUAUGGAAAUGAAUGGACAAAGUCUAAUAUAAUCCACCAAUGCCCACCAGGUGGCAACAUAGACCUCCCAGGAAGGCCUCCUAUGAGAAAAAUAGUACAAACAGGCAGCAACCAUUCCCUGAGACAGACUAACUCCAAAGACCUUGGCUGUGGGUUCUCUGAUUCAGUUGACAGAAUAUGAGGAUGGUCUACGAGGGAUGAUGAAGACCAGCAUGCAGCGAUUGUGUGUGGGAGAGUGGUGAUUGGGUAUAUUGGACAUUGAACAACCAUGUUGAGUCAUCGAUCCCCUCUCUAAGAAUGAGAUACGGAUUAUGAAAUAACUCAUUGACGGCAUUCAAGAACAGUGGACAACACAAUCUUCAGUACAGUAUGACAGCAGACAUCCAACCAUUUCUAUUGCUGCAUAGAAGACUGCUGUAUAAAAGACCAUAUGGAUAAUUACAGGGCAUGAAUAGCAGGGUUGGGGUCAAUUCUGAAUUGCAUUGUGAUUUGCUCUUUAAUUCCAAUAAAAUUAUUUGAUUUGAAUCUGAAUUAGCCACACCCCAUAGAAAGCAGAAUUUGAAUAUGGAGGAAAAACAGGUGCAUAAAAAAUGUAUGUAAAAAAUAUAAUUCAUUCCAUUCCAUUCCCCAACCCCAACCCCCUCAAUGCACCAACAACCAAGAUAAUUAACAAAAGAGACAGAAGAAAACAGCAAACAA
Molecule: long non-coding RNA, 1589 nt
Organism: Oncorhynchus gorbuscha (pink salmon)
Lineage: Eukaryota; Metazoa; Chordata; Actinopteri; Salmoniformes; Salmonidae
Exons: 3
Source: RefSeq, a predicted model, not a curated record